GAUGAACGCUGGCGGCGUGCCUAAUACAUGCAAGUCGAGCGAACAGACGAGGAGCUUGCUCCUCUGACGUUAGCGGCGGACGGGUGAGUAACACGUGGAUAACCUACCUAUAAGACUGGGAUAACUUCGGGAAACCGGAGCUAAUACCGGAUAAUAUAUUGAACCGCAUGGUUCAAUAGUGAAAUACGGUUUUUCUGUCACUUAUAGAUGGAUCCGCGCCGCAUUAGCUAGUUGGUAAGGUAACGGCUUACCAAGGCAACGAUGCGUAGCCGACCUGAGAGGGUGAUCGGCCACACUGGAACUGAGACACGGUCCAGACUCCUACGGGAGGCAGCAGUAGGGAAUCGUCCGCAAUGGGCGAAAGCCUGACGGAGCAACGCCGCGUGAGUGAUGAAGGUCUUCGGAUCGUAAAACUCUGUUAUUAGGGAAGAACAAAUGUGUAAGUAACUAUGCACGUCUUGACGGUACCUAAUCAGAAAGCCACGGCUAACUACGUG
RNAcentral lists this ribosomal RNA (497 nucleotides) under uncultured bacterium. Its description in RNAcentral is "partial 16S ribosomal RNA". It matches the Rfam family "Bacterial small subunit ribosomal RNA", at positions 28 to 507 of the family's 1533-position model. The record is from RNAcentral.